Molecule: long non-coding RNA, 1831 nt
Organism: Triticum aestivum (bread wheat)
Lineage: Eukaryota; Viridiplantae; Streptophyta; Magnoliopsida; Poales; Poaceae
Exons: 3
Source: RefSeq, a predicted model, not a curated record
UCAAGGCAGUGCGGAGGCGGAAACUGGAAGAAACACCAAAGCCCGCUCCUCCUCUCCCCGUGCUGGCAGGCUAGAUCGCCGGGAACUCUCCGAUGACCGGCGGCAGCACUCGGCGUCAAUCUGCCGCCUCCAGGAGCCGCGGCGACCCCUUCUCCUCUUCCCCGGAUCCGUAUGGCGACCAUGCUCCGCUGCGCCUCAUGGACGGGAACGGGAGCGCCAGAAUCCCCUCCUUCUCCUAUGAAUUGAUUCGUUCGCCCUCCUGUCCUGUCCGUCGCAUUCCUCGCGUAUACCGGCGGGUGGUUGCAGACGGGGUCGGAGUCGGAGGCAGCCGCGGCGCUCCUUCACGCCGCUUGAUGCGCCCCGGAUGAUGGAUCUGCCUCUGGUGAGGAUCGUUAGUUCAUGGCGUCAUUGCUGCCCACCCCUUGGUUGCUUUGCUAGAAUGCGACAUCUCAGUUGGUCAGAUAGCCUAGGUGUUACUAUUAUUUGUACUCCAGUUGAACAUCUCUGCUCUAUGUUUGAACAUUUGGUUAAGAUGAACUGGGGCUCAACAUUUGGUUACUGAUUUAGCUUUCUGAUGGUUAAUGUUGACCGGCUGCAGUGUUGCAAGGCGAUCACAAAGAAAGCCUGUAUUGGGUGACUUGCAGGCCAAUUGUAAAUCUCAGAAUUCGUGCUAGGUGGAGUACUACUUAACUUUGGUGAUCCUUUUCUCUUUCCACUUAUGGCAUGAUAGUUGGAAUUAUUCUGAUAUCUUUGUCACGGUUUUUUGUUGGGUUUCAUCUCUAGCCAACCCCAAUUUGCUUGGGACAAAAGGACUCAAGACAUUCGUAUUGCUAGCAUCAUUAGUUUUUAUGCAAAGUGGCAAGCUUUAAUCUGCCGGACAUGACUGAAGACUCUUCAAACAUUAAUGAUCUAUCGGGUACUUUAAAGGUUUUAACAAAAACUUCCUGCCAAAAAUGACAUAGUGUUCUUGUCACUUGUCAGGGGCUGGCUCAAAAACUCCAACGGUUGCAGAACGCGUUAACAGGAACAGCUGAUUUUGCUGCACAGUGCAAUACUCCUUAUAGAUAGGAUAUGUUCAUUAUUUGGAUUCCAUGGCUGCAUGCAUCGUUAGGAUGCAGAGGCCGGGGGUACGCCUCCAUUUCCAAAAAAAAUAAAAAAAAUGGAUUCCAUGGCCAUCGUCCAUAGUAUGCAGUGCACACUCUGAACAUUUUCAAGGAAGUCACACAAGCACUUGACUGCCUUGCUUCCUCGUAUCAGAUUGAUAUGAUAUCAGUUUUACCUGCAUCUUGUCCUUACAUUGAACCUGAACUUCACGAGUUUUGAAGGCACGAUAUGUUCAUUUUGUUUGUUAAUUGUUAUACCGAUGAUGAUGUCAGAUUUUUCAGGUCCCAUGCUGAGCACCCGCAUUGAAUCAAAACAGAAGGAGAUACGAUCAAAUGUUCAAUAUGAAUAAUAAGUUUGGUCUGGUUUGCAGAUGAUGCGGCAACGCCUGUUGCGCUUGCUCAAAAGAUGGCUGUCACUCCGGCGGAAGAAAGAUAUGAGAUAUCCUGGUGCUGGACAAAUGCCUCAGGAUCAUGGAGACCAAGGCGAGGGAAUGUCCCCGGCUCGGCUCGGCUCAGCUUGAAGAAGAGAACAACUGUGCUGGUGCUGGGAUUUGGAAGAUGGCGCUCUAUCGAUCUGAUCAGGAGUAUGGUCCUGAUAGCUAAAAAUCAGUAGUGGAGAUUGGCGCAGGGUACAAAGCUGUACUCCCUCUGAUCCAUAUUACCUGUCACUCAAACGGAUGUUUACACGCGUACAAAGUUGUAAUGAUUAUUAAUAUGUACUGAAUAAA